Coffea arabica (coffee) is the source of this 227-nucleotide non-coding RNA. The record is from RefSeq and is a predicted model, not a curated record. Lineage: Eukaryota; Viridiplantae; Streptophyta; Magnoliopsida; Gentianales; Rubiaceae.
CUCUCUUUUCAACAGGUCUCUGUUGCCACAGAAGGAAGAAGUCAAUUGAUCUGACACUGAGGUUGGAGAAAUCAUCAAAAGGUUGAGCUAUUAAAAUUUGCAGUAUGGUACAAAAGGAUUGGGGAAAUUUUUUUCUCAAGCAUGAAGCCAAUGGUUUAAACCAUAUGGAAUCAAUUUGAGGAAGCUCACGAUAAUCCUAUUGCAACUGAGCAUGAUCCCUUCACAAU